GAUGAAGAACGCAGCGAAAUGCGAUACGUAAUGUGAAUUGCAGAAUUCAGUGAAUCAUCGAGUCUUUGAACGCACAUUGCGCCCUGUGGUAUUCCGCAGGGCAUGCCUGUUCGAGCGUCAUUUCAACCCUCAAGCUCUGCUUGGUGUUGGGCCCUGCCCGCUGCGGCCGGCCCUAAAGACAGUGGCGGUGCCGCCUGGCCCUGAGCGUAGUACAUCUCUCGCUCCAGUGCCCGGUGGUAGCCUGCCAGAACCCCAACUCUCGUGGUUGACCUCGGAUCAGGUAGGGAUACCCGCUGAACUUAAGCAUAUCAAUAAGCGGAGGA
Molecule: unclassified non-coding RNA, 323 nt
Filed under: soil metagenome
Description: partial contains 5.8S ribosomal RNA, internal transcribed spacer 2, and large subunit ribosomal RNA
Rfam family: 5.8S ribosomal RNA (bases 1-120)
Source: RNAcentral